RNAcentral lists this ribosomal RNA (303 nucleotides) under uncultured bacterium. Its description in RNAcentral is "partial 16S ribosomal RNA". It matches the Rfam family "Bacterial small subunit ribosomal RNA", at positions 507 to 809 of the family's 1533-position model. The record is from RNAcentral.
AGCAGUCGCCGCGGGAAAACGUAGGUGGCAAGCGUUGUCCGGAAUUAUUGGGCGUAAGGCGCGCGCAGGCGGAUCAGUCAGUCUGUCUUAAAAGUUCGGGGCUUAACCCCGUGAGGGGAUGGAAACUGCUGAUCUAGAAUAUCGGAGAGGAAAGUGGAAUUCCUAGUGUAGCGGUGAAAUGCGUAGAUAUUAGGAAGAACACCAGUGGCGAAGGCGACUUUCUGGACGAAAACUGACGCUGAGGCGCGAAAGCCAGGGGAGCGAACGGGAUUAGAGACCCGUGUAGUCCCUGUCUCUUAUACA